UUUUUUUGUCAUUUUGUAGAAAAGUCCUCACAAUUUUAGAUAAUCAACCCGCGGUCCAUCUUUUAGUCACAGCCGAACCGUUUUUUUUUGCAUUUUUCAAAAAAAAUCCCUGAUGUUUCAGGUAAUCAACCCGCCGUUCCUAUUUAAGUCAGCCAAAAUGUUUUUUAUUUUAACAAAAAAACCUUGACUUUUUAGUUAAUCAAUCCAUAUUUUAUCUAAAACAAAAUUAUCCAUAUCUUUUAAACCGUAACUCCGAUUUUAACAUGUUAUAUAUGAAAUUUGAUUAAAAAAUGUGUAGGAUCUAAAUAGGAUGUUAUUUUUAACUGUUGAAUACUUCUUAAAUAUUAUUUUUGGUGCAAACUUAAUCUGUAGUGCACGGUCCUUUUUUUCCUCUCUUUCCGGCGACCAUACGAAUUGCAAUAAAUAUCCAUUAAAUUAAAAUCAAAUUGACAGGAAAGAAAACAUCAUUAAUCACAUUGACAGGAAAGAAAACAUCAUUAGAUUAUACAUUCAAUCAUUUUGCUCCGUAUGUAGACACCUAUUGAAAUUGCUUAAAAGACUUAUAUUUAGGAACGGAGGGAGUAAAAGGCUGUAAUUAAAUCAGAUCGGAUGGAGAAAAAGAAAUAGAAAAAACAUAUCUGAAAAGACGUGCAAACUAACGAACGAGCUUGGGGCCUCGACUUAAUCUCCACGUCGGAUGCAUAUGCAGCGCCGUUGCGUGCCAUCCCGCCACUCCGCCGGAUGCCCCUGCCGCGGUGCGGCCGUGGAGCGAUGAGAACUGGAGUAUGGGAGCCGGCGGUUCAUAUCAUCGAUCGAUCAGGGCUGAGUGCGAUGGAAUUUCCUAUUCGACGCACAUUGCGUAGAAUGUUGACCCUUCACACAGAACUCGCGAUGUAGCCAUUACCUG
RNAcentral lists this long non-coding RNA (907 nucleotides) under Hordeum vulgare. Its description in RNAcentral is "long non-coding RNA (HVUL_LNC005434)". Lineage: Eukaryota; Viridiplantae; Streptophyta; Magnoliopsida; Poales; Poaceae. The record is from RNAcentral.